This 48-nucleotide non-coding RNA is filed under the name Trichobilharzia regenti. The record is from RNAcentral. Lineage: Eukaryota; Metazoa; Platyhelminthes; Trematoda; Strigeidida; Schistosomatidae.
GUACUGAUGAUGAGUCCAAAAAACUGGGACGAAACAGCUGUCCAGUAC